GAAUAUUCUGUGAUGACCUGUCACGGAGGUCAUGUGAUGAUGUAUAUCCUGCCCUCCAUCCCAACUGCCACUGGGUUUCAACUGCCACCUGGGAGACUGCUGGUAAAGAUGGGAGGUGGCCUUUGCCGCUUUCCAUCUUCUCACUGCAGUUUCUUCACGUGGGCCACUUGUACUUAAAAUGUCUUCUUAAUUUAUUCUUUUUACUUCCCCAGCUCCAAUUUGUCUACAGAUUUACAAAUUUGUUUUAUAGUUUUAUGACUCAAUUUGUAUUUUCGGUCCUAUGAAGCUUUUUGCCUUAAAUAUUUUUCUCUGUUUAUAAGAAUGUGCUGUUUCCUAGGCCAGUUUUGUACACACUCUUCCAUAGAAUAGAUCCAGAAGAAACACAACAAUACUGCCUUCAUCAUAUCAGGAGAUCUUGAUACCAAAUACGAGUGUUGCCUCCAAGAUGCAAGAUCCUGAGGGCUCCAAAGAAUCCACUGUCCGUCACAAAUCGACGGUCCGCCAGCUCAGUUUCAGAGACGUGGUGCUCCGCUGCAGGCCUCAUCCUCAGGUGCACCCUGGCAGUCAGCCAUCUGAAGGUACUAUGGAAAUUCAGUUACUCACUCUUGGGAGCAGAAGGAUUCCAGACCAUUCCUGUGUGCACCCUGGCAGGGAGCCAUCUGAAGGAGGGUGGCCCAGCAGCAGCUCAGCCUGUGCUCUCACCCACCUCCUCUGCACACACCAGUCCUCGUCCUCAGCACCCAAGGCUGCCAGAGGUCCUUCAGCAGCUCCCGUGGCUGACAGUGACUCUACGUUUCCUAGAUUUCAGGGACCACCUGGAGGGGAGCGGACCAGAGAGACUUCCUCGGAAUAGGCUGUGGCUCUUCACAAGGUGUCUUCUAUGCUUUAUUUGGGAGCCAUUGCCUUGAGCGUUAUUUCCCAGAUGGUUUUCUAAUGUCACCAACUGAAGAAAAGACCCAUGCACACAGGACACAGCAUGAUCUGAUGCUCACAGCGUUUUCCUUCCUCUCUGAAAACGGACUCAGCGAUUCUGGCAAGCGGUACUUACUCUGAGAUCACCCGUUUGCUAAGGAAAAAUCUUAGUACUGAGAAAGGUGACACUUUCCUCCCUGCUUUUGCUGGAGAGACACUUUGGUUAUGAGUUAUUUCUAGCAUAACACAGUUUAUUUCAGAAGUCCAGCUCAAUAGCAGACCAAGGCAUGAACAACACAUGAAAAUUUAUGUUGGGAAAAUAUAUAUUGUAUGUCUGCUUGAACUGUGGGUUCUUGAUUAAUACAAAACUGGUUGAUGAAGGUUGUUACCUUCAGGAAAAUGCAAAUCUAGUGGAGGGACAAAACUCACAGUAACAGUAUUUCAUCAUAGCCACCAUGAGGCAGUACAUUAUGAAGCAUGUCAGUGAUGAAUUACUGGCAGGCUGGUCUGUCAUUGAAGCUACACUCUGUUUCUAGCUUCUGUUGCUUCUGCUGUCUCUCUCCUAACAUCUGCAUAUUCCUCCACUUUGUGGUGGAGGAAGCAUUAGGGCUGAUAUAGGGGAUUUCCAGUGAGUGUAUAAUUCAGUGCAGAAUUGGCAGGAAUAUAUUCCAUGGUUAGGAGCUGGAGAAAGUAAGAAAUAAAAAUAGACCUUGAAGAAUGGGUAGGAUUUUCAAAAUCAGAGAUAAAGACGCAAGAAAGAGAA
This 1675-nucleotide long non-coding RNA is filed under the name Homo sapiens (human). Its description in RNAcentral is "long intergenic non-protein coding RNA 1120". Lineage: Eukaryota; Metazoa; Chordata; Mammalia; Primates; Hominidae. The record is from RNAcentral.